RNAcentral lists this ribosomal RNA (365 nucleotides) under uncultured bacterium. RNAcentral describes it as "bacterial SSU rRNA". It matches the Rfam family "Bacterial small subunit ribosomal RNA", at positions 99 to 467 of the family's 1533-position model. The record is from RNAcentral.
CGGACGGGUGAGUAAUGUCUGGGAAACUGCCUGAUGGAGGGGGAUAACUACUGGAAACGGUAGCUAAUACCGCAUAACGUCUACGGACCAAAGUGGGGGACCUUCGGGCCUCAUGCCAUCAGAUGUGCCCAGAUGGGAUUAGCUAGUAGGUGGGGUAAUGGCUCACCUAGGCGACGAUCCCUAGCUGGUCUGAGAGGAUGACCAGCCACACUGGAACUGAGACACGGUCCAGACUCCUACGGGAGGCAGCAGUGGGGAAUAUUGCACAAUGGGCGCAAGCCUGAUGCAGCCAUGCCGCGUGUGUGAAGAAGGCCUUCGGGUUGUAAAGCACUUUCAGCGAGGAGGAAGGGUUCAGUGUUAAUAGC